AUUUAAAUAGCUUAUAUUUAGAGCGUGACACUGAAGAUGUUAAAGAGAUUAGUUAAUCUUUAAAUA
Molecule: transfer RNA, 66 nt
Filed under: Chyliza bambusae
Lineage: Eukaryota; Metazoa; Arthropoda; Insecta; Diptera; Psilidae
Description: tRNA-Phe
Source: RNAcentral